AGUGUGCUUAGAAUAAUGACGGAAAUCCCAAUUUAAUGAACACUAUCUUACUAUUCUGUACACCUGUAAAUUUCUUCCGAUAUAAAUAACAGGUAUUUUCAAUCAAUUUCUAAAAAUAACUUAAAUUCUCAGAUCAAGAACACGGAAGUGAUCACAAACAUGUAAACAAUACAUAUCAAAGAUGAGCUCUACACCUUCUUGUUGUGAUUGGAAACUAAGUGAAAUAUUAAAAACACUCAUCACAAACACUGCUGGACUAGAUGUUGGACAAAUCAUACAUAUAAUAUUACAACUUAUAUCAUUCUUUAUUCUCAUCGGUUGUUUGGUUGCUGAUCAGUGGUUGUCCGGAGAUAUUGGCAAUCAAGGUCUUUGGAAUUACUGCUACACGAACGGGACAUCUUCGUGCUGUGGGAAGCUUGAUGAUGUUGUGGGUUAUAAAGAUUUUAUUGGUGCAACACGAGCUUUUUUAAUUAUUGAAAGUUUAAUUUUCCUUGCAAUAUUUUACACCAUCUACAAAACAGUAUACAAGAACGAUUCAGAUUACUUGAUAUCAACUUUUCUAACCGGAGUUAUCGGUUUUUGUACUUUCCUAUCAAUAACCAUUUAUGGAGCACGACAUGAUGAUGUCAGUAAAAGUACAAUGAAGUUGAGUGUUUCCUACAUAUUCUGUGCGCUGAAUCUCGGUUUACAGAUUAUUAUUGGCGUGUUUGGGUUAUGUUGGAUUUAAUGUGAUUAUGUGAAUUAACGUGUUAAUAUAUUGAUCAAAUUCUUUGUUUGCAAGUUAGAUUUUCAAAAUAAUGUUACAGUAGUCAUAUCAAUAAAUAACUGUAUUUGCCAUUUAAAAAUUUUGAAAGUUGUAAAAUCUAAUCAUUAUAAUUUAUUAUUGUU
Molecule: long non-coding RNA, 888 nt
Organism: Mytilus californianus (California mussel)
Lineage: Eukaryota; Metazoa; Mollusca; Bivalvia; Mytilida; Mytilidae
Exons: 3
Source: RefSeq, a predicted model, not a curated record